Molecule: long non-coding RNA, 1700 nt
Organism: Mirounga angustirostris (Northern elephant seal)
Lineage: Eukaryota; Metazoa; Chordata; Mammalia; Carnivora; Phocidae
Exons: 3
Source: RefSeq, a predicted model, not a curated record
GCUGGAGCUGAGGAGAUCUCUGGGAGGCCCUUGGGGUUUAAGGGUGGGCUACCAGGGGAGGGGCUUCGAGGCUGCCCCGGACUGAAGGAAACGCGUUCUGGGAGCUUGGCGUCGUGUUUGUUGCUGAAAAAUCCCUGAGAGAGUACAAGCAGGGGGAACAGCAGGCAGAGGAAGAGGGAAAAGCAGGCUCCUGCUGAACAAAGAGCCCGAUAUGGGACUCAAUCCCAGGACCCUGGGAUCAUGACCAGAGCCGAAGGCAAUGACUUAACCGACUGAGCCACCCAGGCUCCCCGAAGAAAAAGUUUAUUGACUUCUUGCCCUACCGUGGUGAUUUCUCCCUCCUCCACCUGGCUGGAACCAGGAAUGCACUGCUGAUCCAGUUUCAACCACAACUGAAUGAUAAAAGAGACAACCUGGAAGAAAUCUGGAUCCUUAAAGGACCACAAAAACCAAAGCAACCAUGCAACUCUUCACUACUUACCAUGUUAACUGUUACAUGACCAGGAAAUCAAUUCUUAUAUUCCUUAAAGCAGUACAUUUUGGGUUUAUUAUGGUCACUUAGCUUUACCAUCACUGAUAUACUUUUUAGUCCUGUCUCAUGCUUUAUAACAUCAUGUAUCUGCAGAUGCCUGCUCAACUCAGGCAUUUGUAGCAUGAAAGUAGCCACAGAUAAUAAGAAAAUGAAUGGACAAGAUGCACUGUAGGUGGCCAUGUUUCAGUAAAACUUCACAAAAACACGUACAGGCUGUAGUUUGCCAACCCCUACUCUACCAGGUCACCAUUUCCACAGAAUACAGUUAAGAGUUUGCUUGACAUUUGUGCAUUAUGAUACAGUAUUUUUGAAAAUAUUUAUUCACUAGCCUGGACCUCUUUCCCCAACUGAUUCACAUAUCCACUUGCUACUCAAAAUCUGCACUUGGAUGUCUAAUAAUUUACCCUGCCCCAGACAAAACUCUAGUUCUCCCAAAUGAACCUCCCCCAAAUUCUUCUCAUCUUGUUAAAUAGCAACCUCAUUUUCCCAGUUGCUCAAGCUUUGAACAACUGUCUCCUAGAUCACACCCUAUUAGAUCUCCAUGUCCUGUUGGCUUUAUCUUCAAAAUAUGGUUAGCAUCUGGCCAUUUCUCAUAAUCCUCACUCACGAGGACAACCAAAGUGUAAGCCACAUCAUGUCUUGACUGGAUUAUUUAAUAGGCUCCUCACUCUUCUUCCUACCUUUGCCUCUUUAUAACUCCUCUCAACACAGCAACAGCUCUGUUUAUUCUUGUCACAGUUAAAUCAUAUCAUUGUUCUACUUGAAAGCCUCCUUGUAUACUCACAAAAAUAUUUAGAAGAAUACACAGUUAAUAGUGGCUGCUUCUGGGGAACAGAAAUGGAGAAGUGAGGGCCAGGAUUGAGAAGACAUACCCAUUAUUUUACUUUUCUAUUAAGUAUUAUGUAUUGGAUUUUAAAGAGAAUAGUAUUAUUUCUUUUUAGAAGUAACAGAGAGGUGAAGUCAUAGGAAGUCAGGACAAAUCUCCAAGCAUGCUAUAUUGUUAAAAAGCAAGAGGGGGAGAAAUGUUGUGCUAUGAUAGUUGGAGGUAGGAAGAGAAUAAGAAGUAAGGAUAAGGGGGUAAAUAAAAUUCAACUCUGAGAUAUAUAACAAUGGAAGUGGGGAGAAAUGAUAGAAAGUUAAAUUUUAUUUAAAAAAAAAUUUUUUUGAG